Bufo bufo (common toad) is the source of this 136-nucleotide long non-coding RNA. RefSeq lists it as uncharacterized. The transcript is spliced from 3 exons. The record is from RefSeq and is a predicted model, not a curated record. NCBI's taxonomy places the organism in Eukaryota, Metazoa, Chordata, Amphibia, Anura, Bufonidae.
UCCUUAGCAAUGCGGGCACAUAUGAACAUGGGACCAAUGCAGAUGCUAUCAGCUGCCAGGUGCACAUGAAACAGGUCAGCCAGUGUCAUAGGUGCAAAUCUGCUGACAGAUGGGGCUUAAAGGGAACCUGACCCAG